CACCGCCCGUCACACCAUGAGAGUUGGCAAUACCCAAAGUUGGUGAUCUAACCCGUAAGGGAGGAAGCCACCUAAGGUAGGGUCAGCGAUUGGGGUGAAGUCGUAACAAGGUAGCCGUAGGAGAACCUGCGGCUG
Molecule: non-coding RNA, 135 nt
Filed under: Clostridium disporicum
Lineage: Bacteria; Bacillati; Bacillota; Clostridia; Eubacteriales; Clostridiaceae
Description: Bacterial small subunit ribosomal RNA
Rfam family: Bacterial small subunit ribosomal RNA
Source: Rfam by way of RNAcentral